CCGUGGACGUUUGAGAUUUGAGAGGGGCUGCUCCUAGUACGAGAGGACCGGAGUGGACGAACCUCUGGUGUUCCGGUUGUCACGCCAGUGGCAUUGCCGGGUAGCUAUGUUCGGAAAAGAUAACCGCUGAAAGCAUCUAAGCGGGAAACUUGCCUCAAGAUGAGAUCUCACUGGGAACUUGAUUCCCCUGAAGGGCCGUCGAAGACUACGACGUUGAUAGGCUGGGUGUGUAAGCGUUGUGAGGCGUUGAGCUAACCAGUACUAAUUGCCCGUGAGGCUUGACCAUAUAACACCCAAACA
Molecule: ribosomal RNA, 300 nt
Filed under: Pseudomonas aeruginosa
Lineage: Bacteria; Pseudomonadati; Pseudomonadota; Gammaproteobacteria; Pseudomonadales; Pseudomonadaceae
Description: partial 23S ribosomal RNA
Rfam family: Bacterial large subunit ribosomal RNA
Source: RNAcentral